Molecule: ribosomal RNA, 300 nt
Filed under: uncultured Thermotoga sp.
Lineage: Bacteria; Thermotogati; Thermotogota; Thermotogae; Thermotogales; Thermotogaceae
Description: partial 16S ribosomal RNA
Rfam family: Bacterial small subunit ribosomal RNA (bases 52-300)
Source: RNAcentral
GGUAAAGGGGGGCCGGCGGGGGGGAUAAUACGAGGGGGGUAAGCGUUAAUCGGAAUUACGGGGCGUACAGCGGGCGUAGGGGGUUGGGGAAGUUGAAUGUGAAAGCGCCGGGGUCAACCUGGGAACGGCAUCCAAAACUGCCCGACUAGAGUACGGUAGAGGGUGGGGGAAUUUCCUGUGUAGCGGUGAAAUGCGUAGAUAUAGGAAGGAACACCAGUGGCGAAGGCGACCACCUGGACUGAUACUGACACUGAGGUGCGAAAGCGUGGGGAGCAAACAGGAUUAGAUACCCGGGUAGUC